ACGGAUCUCCACCUUUUAUUCAUGUUAUAGAUUUUGAUAUUGGCCUUGGUUGCCAGUAUGCUUCGUUCAUGAGAGAGCUAUUUGAGAAAGCUGACUCGUGUAAACUCACGUCUCCUGUUCUUCGAAUCACUGCUAUCGUAACAGAGGACUGCGCGAUUGAAACUCAGUUGAUCAAACAGUGUCUAUCACAAUACGCUAUUGAACUGAAAAUCAGAUUCCAGAUUGAGUUUGUUCUUUUCCGUACCUUUGAAAUGGUAUCUUUUAAAUCAAUCAAGUUUAUUGAUGGGGAGAAAACAGCC
Molecule: long non-coding RNA, 299 nt
Filed under: Jatropha curcas
Lineage: Eukaryota; Viridiplantae; Streptophyta; Magnoliopsida; Malpighiales; Euphorbiaceae
Description: long non-coding RNA (JCUR_LNC002073)
Source: RNAcentral